CCGGGAUCAGAAGGUGACGCCUCUCUGGCCACACGUCUUAAGGUCACGACUUCUAAUCCCAGCUCCCUCUUAUUUCUGGAAGCAGUGGUAGAAACAUGUAAAAUGCAAGUAGAACUUUAGAGCUGAAAGGUACAUUAGCAUCCCACCUGGUUUGGAGGACAGUUACCAUCUACCGGAAAACACGAAGGCCCCUUCAUGCAAGGCAGAUGUGCCUUGGGCACUGGAAGGAAAACAUCCCUCGGGUCCCGCCCAGUUGUUCCGGCUUUAUCACAGUGACUGCUGACAAAGCCUUUACUUCACAAAGCAACAAAGCACACAGCAGCCAAAAAAUCCAGUGAAAUCAGGAUCUUGGAAAGGAUGUAAGGAAGCAAGACUUGUGCACAGGGGACUUGUCACUCAUUCAGUUCUACCCCACAGGGGGGCAAUGAGGGAGGUUUGGCUCCUGGAAGAGGCUAAGUGCAGGAAUGCUGGAUUCUGCUCUCAGCCUGCCUGGGGUCCACAACCUUGCCUGAACUCUGCAGCCGGAAUUUCCUCACUGGCCCUAAAGAAGGGCUUGUCAGUAGCUGAACAGAAUGCUAAAUCGGCAAUUGUGUAUAGGAAACCACAUAAUAAAGCUAGUAAAAAGGAAAUGAGAGAUCAACCAUAAAUAAAGAUUCC
This 657-nucleotide long non-coding RNA is filed under the name Pan troglodytes (chimpanzee). RNAcentral describes it as "long non-coding RNA NONPTRT006814". Lineage: Eukaryota; Metazoa; Chordata; Mammalia; Primates; Hominidae. The record is from RNAcentral.